Non-coding RNA from Chelonoidis abingdonii (Abingdon island giant tortoise), 1389 nucleotides. Lineage: Eukaryota; Metazoa; Chordata; Testudines; Testudinidae. The record is from RefSeq and is a predicted model, not a curated record.
AGAAAGGCACCUGAAGAUGGCAAUUGGAAAGAAUUCCCCAGGAGUUAAAAUAACCAGCCCAACUGUUGUACUGAGGCAGAUUAUAUACUUGAACUGCCUAUGACUUUUUUCAAAAGUAAACUCCAUUGUAUGUUGUUGUGGAAACUGUUCAGCUUCCGAUGGGGCAGAGUGGUAAGGUGAGGAGGAAAACAAAUACGCCAUCCUCAUUUAAAGAAAAUGGACUUUGAAACCUGAAGAAUGGUCUUGUUCUCUCAACCUGUUGGCUACCCAAUGGUUUCCAGAAACUUGUACAAAAAUAAAUAGCUCAGGUGCAAAAAUAUUCACAUGCUGUCAGGCAUCUUUUAUCAAUCCGGUUUCCUUCUGACAUUAUAAAUGAUGUAUAACCAGCUCUGCUGAGAAGGUGGUAAGCAAGGUGAAGACCUAGUCCUAUUGAAGUCAAUGGCAAACUCCCACUGAGUUCAAGAGGGCCAGGAUUCUAUCCCAGUAUGUAUUAUAACACUACGACUGCAAAAUAAAGCUCUUGUGAUUGAAAUGUAUAAGAAAUAGAAAUAUGAGGAUGUGUGUGAAGGAACAGUAUACUUACAAACCUUACUACUGAAUUAUGAUCUUAAUUUCAGGCUUCUUAAACACUAUUCAUUCUCCUCCCACCAAAAUAAUGGUCACAAAAAUGCAAUGUAGAAUUAUUGUAUGAAAAUUGCCUUCUGAAUGUACAUAAGCAUGUCAUAAUUCAGAACUGUCGACUACCCUGCAGCUGGUCAAAACUUACUUUUUUCAGUUACAAAAUUAACGUGCCUGCAGUUAGUAAGGCAAAACAAAAAAACGUCCUCCAGACAAAGGUUUCUUUUAGGUGACAGGGUCCUGAUUCAAAGCCCAGUGAAGCCAACGGAAAGAUUCCCAUUUGACUCCAGUAGGCUUUGGAUCAGGCCCUGAAUGCAAAGACUCAUUCAAAUUAAAGUUUAAAAUUAUAGAUAUGAGCAAUAAAAAAAAAGUCCAAUAAAAAUGUCUUUUACAUGAUCCCGUCUGUCAGAAGGCUCCUACCCAGUUUAGAAGUGGCAUUUCUGAUUCAUCUCUGGAUCUUGGAUCAUCUGACAACUGAAAAAUAAGAAAAGUUUAAAGUGAGUUCUGAUUCCCCUUCGGGCUUUUCUGUUACUGGCUGCAGUAGGGCUGAUGUGAGCUGGAAUUGUGACAUGCCCUUGUAGCUGGAGUGACCUCUGGGCUAUGGCAUGGAGGUCUAGAUCACCUUUUCUUUUGCAGUGCAAUCUCGCAAUGUCCCUUAUUGCAUUUCCUCUUUUUCUUCACCUAUAUCUAAGGAUGUGAUUUGGUCACAGAGGUCAUGGGUUCCAUGACUUCGACAGAUAGGCGACUUCUUCGGCUUCAACUUCAGCACCA